CUGCUCCUAGUACGAGAGGACCGGAGUGGACGCAUCACUGGUGUUCGGGUUGUCAUGCCAAUGGCACUGCCCGGUAGCUAAAUGCGGAAGAGAUAAGUGCUGAAAGCAUCUAAGCACGAAACUUGCCCCGAGAUGAGUUCUCCCUGACUCCUUGAGAGUCCUGAAGGAACGUUGAAGACGACGACGUUGAUAGGCCGGGUGUGUAAGCGCAGCGAUGCGUUGAGCUAACCGGUACUAAUGAACCGUGAGGCUUAACCUUACAACGCCGAAG
Molecule: ribosomal RNA, 271 nt
Filed under: Escherichia coli
Lineage: Bacteria; Pseudomonadati; Pseudomonadota; Gammaproteobacteria; Enterobacterales; Enterobacteriaceae
Description: partial 23S ribosomal RNA
Rfam family: Bacterial large subunit ribosomal RNA
Source: RNAcentral